GGCAAUCUUUGCAUGCCUUGGAGUCGGGUUGUUUGGGAUCGCAGCCCAAAGAAGGUGGUAAACUUCAUCUAAGACUGAAUAUGACCACGAGACCGAUAGCGAACAAGUACUGUGAAGGAAAGUUGCAAAGCACUUUGAAGAGAGAGUUAAAGAGGACGUGAAACCGAUGAGGUGGAAACGGAUAGAGCCAGCGUAUCUGGCCUGUAUUCAACUGCAUUGUUGUGAGCAGUUGGGCGCUGCAUCUCCAGAUUGGGACAGUCCUAGCUUGCAAGCAACAAUGUUGUGCAUUUGCAGGUCGAGUGCGCCGAGACUUUCGAGAAGGCGAUAUGAGCUCAAUUUUGAGGCCAGCUUGCUGGUACCCGGAUUGGAGGAAUGUUGUUCGUUUUGGAUGUGAAUGGGGGAAAGGUUUUCGGGUUCGUAUGGGUUCAAAUUGGGGGGGGGGGGCAGUUGCUUGCAACAUGGGCCUUCGGCCAAUUCGGCCCGGGGGGAGCUCCAAAUCCCCCUCUCGGGGGAAAAGUGGGGCAUCUACCCAACCCGC
Molecule: ribosomal RNA, 538 nt
Filed under: Pratylenchus penetrans
Lineage: Eukaryota; Metazoa; Nematoda; Chromadorea; Rhabditida; Pratylenchidae
Description: partial large subunit ribosomal RNA
Rfam family: Eukaryotic large subunit ribosomal RNA
Source: RNAcentral